RNAcentral lists this ribosomal RNA (483 nucleotides) under uncultured bacterium. Its description in RNAcentral is "partial 16S ribosomal RNA". It matches the Rfam family "Bacterial small subunit ribosomal RNA", at positions 29 to 507 of the family's 1533-position model. The record is from RNAcentral.
AUUGAACGCUGGCGGCAUGCUUUACACAUGCAAGUCGAACGGCAGCGCGGGCUUCGGCCUGGCGGCGAGUGGCGAACGGGUGAGUAAUACAUCGGAACGUGCCCAGUAGUGGGGGAUAGCUCGGCGAAAGCCGGAUUAAUACCGCAUACGACCUGAGGGUGAAAGCGGGGGAUCUUCGGACCUCGCGUUAUUGGAGCGGCCGAUGGCAGAUUAGCUAGUUGGGGGGUAAAGGCCUACCAAGGCGACGAUCUGUAGCUGGUCUGAGAGGACGACCAGCCACACUGGGACUGAGACACGGCCCAGACUCCUACGGGAGGCAGCAGUGGGGAAUUUUGGACAAUGGGCGAAAGCCUGAUCCAGCAAUGCCGCGUGUGUGAUGAAGGCCUUCGGGUUGUAAAGCACUUUUGGCGGGAACGAAAAGGACUGUGCCAAUACCACGGUUCGAUGACGGUACCCGCAGAAUAAGCACCGGCUAACUACGUG